Molecule: unclassified non-coding RNA, 475 nt
Filed under: uncultured Glomus
Lineage: Eukaryota; Fungi; Glomeromycota; Glomeromycetes; Glomerales; Glomeraceae
Description: SSU rRNA
Rfam family: Eukaryotic small subunit ribosomal RNA
Source: RNAcentral
AGCAGCCGCGGUAAUUCCAGCUCCAAUAGCGUAUAUUAAAGUUGUUGCAGUUAAAAGCUCGUAGUUGAAUUUCGAGAUCAAAUUGUUGGUCGUGCCUUGGUACGCACUGGCAUUAUUGGUUUCUCCCUUCUGACGGACCAUGAUGUCAUUAAUUUGGUGUCUUGGGGAAUCAGGACUGUUACUUUGAAAAAUUGAGUGUUUAAAGCAGGCUCACGCUUGAAUACAUUAGCAUGGAAUAAUGAAAUAGGACGUUUGAUUCUAUUUUGUUGGUUUCUAGGAUCGACGUAAUGAUUAAUAGGGAUAGUUGGGGGCAUUAGUAUUCAAUUGUCAGAGGUGAAAUUCUUGGAUUUAUUGAAGACUGACUACUGCGAAAGCAUUUGCCAAGGAUGUUUUCAUUAAUCAAGAACGAAAGUUAGGGGAUCGAAGACGAUCAGAUACCGUCGUAGUCUUAACCAUGAACUAUGCCGAUAGGGAU